GUUAGCUUGGCCGAGUUGGUUAAGGCGGUAGACUUAAGCUCUACUGACGAAAGUCUCGUGCGUUCGAAUCGCACAGCUAACA
Molecule: non-coding RNA, 82 nt
Organism: Xylariaceae sp. FL0594
Lineage: Eukaryota; Fungi; Ascomycota; Sordariomycetes; Xylariales; Xylariaceae
Source: the annotation of a GenBank genome assembly